GUCACUUGGUUUGGGACAUCGGUUGAUGGUGUCUAACCUGUGUCUCUCUCCCUGCUGCGUGCUCGUUUUCCAGGACAACAGGUGUCGGGCGUGUGGAACGGACGAGUCAGACAUUUAUGAACAGACCAGAGGAGCGGAAAUGAACACAGUGUUUUACGUCCAGUGAGAGAAGGCGCAUUCCGGUGAUGAGCCGUACGUAGGCAGCCAGACGGAGGCUUCGGGUGACGCUGCAGGGGAGCCCCCCGCAGCCCAUGGCAGGGACAGGAGCUCACAGCUGGGCGAAAGCUAAAAGACAUGCCGUCCCAGGCCCACUCUGGCUGAGGACACUGGCCGAGGAACAGUGGCACCUGCUGUGCGCACGUGACUCCAUGGGUGUCACGGACCCAGGGUGUGCCAGACUCUGCCACCCAUGUCACGCCUGCACAAUCAGGCCUCCGGUCCUGGGCUAUUUAUACCCCUGGAAUGUCACCAGGCUGGCUGGGAAGCAAAGACCCUUGCGGUGCAUCAAACCCACAACCGCCGCCCCCGUCUCAGCCCAGGACUGCCGAGAAGACCCGCUCAGCGUUAUCGGUGGGCCCACUCCGAAGAUAAGGAGCCCCCGCUUGGCCCCACUAAUGGUAUUAUUUUAGGGACCACUCAAAAGGACAGGAUGGGAUGGGGCACAGUCGUCUGUCAUCCUGUCCUUCAACAACAGGCUACACAGAGGAGAACAAAAGCCAGCGCUGGUUUGGAGAAACCAUCCUCCCCCAAGGCCACUGGGGGAGAAAUCUGCUCCGAGUGAUUAUUUCCAUCCCCCUCGCAGCCCCUCCGGGCAACCCACCCGCCCACAGGCCACGGCAGGACGAGGGCGGAGGGGCAAAGCUCUGGGCUAGACGGAAAGUGUAAGAGGGCUUCUGCUAAAACCUCCUAAAAUAGAGAGAUCCCAGAUCUGGAUUCGGUUAGAGGGUCAGAACUCGAAUAUGUGAGUUCAGAACUCGAAUAUGUGAGUUAGAGGGUCAGAACUCGAAUUGUUGGCUUUAAUGAUUGAAACCAUUUGUAAUCAGCAUUUCUAUAACUCACUUAAGUCGGAGAUGCACCAUCGAGGGUCAGGGACAAAGGUGCAGGCCUCAGCAAACGGCGGUCCACGUGUGCACCCCCCCCACCUCGGUCCCCACCACUCCCACCACCCCCACCCGACACACGCACAAACUGUCCUUGGAAGUUCUGUCAUCUCGCACUCGGAGGCUUGCUCGCAGGCAUUAAAUAAGGCCGUGAAUGUGGGGGAGCAGGUUCAGAGGCGUGGUUCCCAACUCCCCCGGCCACUCGCCGUCGCAGAGAGGACAGCCACCUGCCUGGGAUGAACGUCAGCGAGAAGGUUCACCGCUCCGUUGGCACGCCUGGGGACACCCGAGGAAACCCGAGGAAACUUCUCACUGAUGAUCCCAAAAAGUACCCACCCAGGAAGGCCAACUGGGAGACCCUGACCCGAGCCUGGAUCUAAAAGGGAGGGAUGCAGAGGGCCAGGCCUCCCCAAGUUCAUGCAGCUACUGAGGGCAGACCCCGUCUGGUUCCAAGCCUGGCAAUGACGGUAAUGACAUGUAUUCCUUAAACAAGUCAAGGAAGCUCUGCUGUGUGCCAGGCCCUGGGCUG
This 1629-nucleotide long non-coding RNA is filed under the name Vulpes vulpes (red fox). RNAcentral describes it as "lncRNA (ENSVVUG00000017301.1)". Lineage: Eukaryota; Metazoa; Chordata; Mammalia; Carnivora; Canidae. The record is from RNAcentral.